RNAcentral lists this ribosomal RNA (524 nucleotides) under uncultured bacterium. Its description in RNAcentral is "partial 16S ribosomal RNA". It matches the Rfam family "Bacterial small subunit ribosomal RNA", at positions 28 to 523 of the family's 1533-position model. The record is from RNAcentral.
GACGAACGCUGGCGGCGUGCCUAAUACAUGCAAGUCGAACGAAGCUUUUUUAACUGGUGCUUGCACCGACUUAAACAACUGAGUGGCGAACGGGUGAGUAACACGUGGGUAACCUGCCCCAGAGCGGGGGAUAACAUUUGGAAACAGAUGCUAAUACCGCAUAACCACAGAAACCACAUGGUUUCUGUGUCAAAGAUGGUUUCGGCUAUCACUUUGGGAUGGACCCGCGGCGUAUUAGCUAGUUGGUAAGGUAAUGGCUUACCAAGGCAAUGAUACGUAGCCGAACUGAGAGGUUGAUCGGCCACAUUGGGACUGAGACACGGCCCAAACUCCUACGGGAGGAAGCAGUAGGGAAUCUUCCACAAUGGACGAAAGUCUGAUGGAGCAACGCCGCGUGAGUGAAGAAGGUUUUCGGAUCGUAAAACUCUGUUGUCAGAGAAGAACGUGUGCGAGAGUAACUGUUCGUGCAGUGACGGUAUCUGGCCAGAAAGCCACGGCUAACUACGUGCCAGCCGCCGCGGUAA